RNAcentral lists this ribosomal RNA (330 nucleotides) under uncultured eukaryote. Its description in RNAcentral is "partial 18S ribosomal RNA". It matches the Rfam family "Eukaryotic small subunit ribosomal RNA", at positions 1470 to 1796 of the family's 1831-position model. The record is from RNAcentral.
CCCUUAGGUGUUCUGGGCCGCACGCGCGCUACACUGAUGCAUUCAACGAGUCUAAAACCUGGUCUGAUGGGGCUGGGUAAUCUUUUGAAUGUGCAUCGUGAUUGGGAUAGAUGAUUGCAAUUCUUCAUCUUCAACGAGGAAUGCCUAGUAAACGCAAGUCAUCAGCUUGCAUUGAUUACGUCCCUGCCCUUUGUACACACCGCCCGUCGCUCCUACCGAUUGAAUGUUCCGAUGAAUACCAUGGACUGAGAGUAUGAAUGGGUUCGCCUAUUUCUGCUUCUCGGGAAGUGGAGUAAAUCUUAACAUUUAGAGGAAGGAGAAGUCGUAACA